RNAcentral lists this ribosomal RNA (468 nucleotides) under uncultured bacterium. Its description in RNAcentral is "partial 16S ribosomal RNA". It matches the Rfam family "Bacterial small subunit ribosomal RNA", at positions 28 to 507 of the family's 1533-position model. The record is from RNAcentral.
GACGAACGCUGGCGGCGUGCUUAACACAUGCAAGUCGAACGGAAAGGCCCUGCUUUUGUGGGGUGCUCGAGUGGCGAACGGGUGAGUAACACGUGAGUAACCUGCCCUUGACUUUGGGAUAACUUCAGGAAACUGGGGCUAAUACCGGAUAGGAGCUCCUGCUGCAUGGUGGGGGUUGGAAAGUUUCGGCGGUUGGGGAUGGACUCGCGGCUUAUCAGCUUGUUGGUGGGGUAGUGGCUUACCAAGUCUUUGACGGGUAGCCGGCCUGAGAGGGUGACCGGCCACAUUGGGACUGCGAGACGGCCCAGACUCCUACGGGAGGCAGCAGUGGGGAAUAUUGCACAAUGGGCGGAAGCCUGAGGCAGCAACGCCGCGUGCGGGAUGACGGCCUUCGGGUUGUAAACCGCUUUCGCCUGUGACGAAGCGUGAGUGACGGUAAUGGGUAAAGAAGCACCGGCUAACUACGUG